GGAUUGUUAGUUUAUUGUUUAGAAUCCUAUUUUGUAUUAUAGUUUUAUUGUGUUUAGAAUAUAGUCCA
This 68-nucleotide transfer RNA is filed under the name Echinostoma miyagawai. Its description in RNAcentral is "tRNA-Thr". The record is from RNAcentral. Lineage: Eukaryota; Metazoa; Platyhelminthes; Trematoda; Plagiorchiida; Echinostomatidae.